Molecule: ribosomal RNA, 328 nt
Filed under: Salmonella enterica subsp. enterica serovar Sandiego
Lineage: Bacteria; Pseudomonadati; Pseudomonadota; Gammaproteobacteria; Enterobacterales; Enterobacteriaceae
Description: bacterial SSU rRNA
Rfam family: Bacterial small subunit ribosomal RNA
Source: RNAcentral
UCUGGGAAACUGCCUGAUGGAGGGGGAUAACUACUGGAAACGGUGGCUAAUACCGCAUAACGUCGCAAGACCAAAGAGGGGGACCUUCGGGCCUCUUGCCAUCAGAUGUGCCCAGAUGGGAUUAGCUUGUUGGUGAGGUAACGGCUCACCAAGGCGACGAUCCCUAGCUGGUCUGAGAGGAUGACCAGCCACACUGGAACUGAGACACGGUCCAGACUCCUACGGGAGGCAGCAGUGGGGAAUAUUGCACAAUGGGCGCAAGCCUGAUGCAGCCAUGCCGCGUGUAUGAAGAAGGCCUUCGGGUUGUAAAGUACUUUCAGCGGGGAGG